AGCGAACAUUGGCGGUAGGCUUAACACAUGCAAGUCGAGCGAGGCUUCGAGCCGAGCGGCGAACGGGUGAGUAAUACUUGGGAAUCUACCCUGGAGUGGGGGAUAACGUCCAGAAAUGGACGCUAAUACCGCAUAAUCCACAUUGGGAAAGCGCGCUGCGCUUUAGGAUGAGCCCAAGCCUGAUUAGCUAGUUGGUGGGGUAAAGGCCCACCAAGGCGACGAUCAGUAGCUGGUCUGAGAGGAUGAUCAGCCACACUGGAACUGAAACACGGUCCAGACUCCUACGGGAGGCAGCAGUGGGGAAUCUUGCGCAAUGGGGGCAACCCUGACGCAGCCAUACCGCGUGUGCGAUGAAGGUCUUCGGAUUGUAAAGCACUUUCGGCGGGGACGACAAUGACGGUACCCGCAUAAGAAGUCACGGCUAACUUCGUGCCAGCCGCCGCAGUAA
RNAcentral lists this ribosomal RNA (448 nucleotides) under uncultured bacterium. Its description in RNAcentral is "partial 16S ribosomal RNA". It matches the Rfam family "Bacterial small subunit ribosomal RNA", at positions 29 to 523 of the family's 1533-position model. The record is from RNAcentral.